GACGAACGCUGACGGCGUGCUUAACACAUGCAAGUCGAGCGAUGAAGCACCUUCGGGUGUGAAUUAGUGGCGAACGGGUGAGGAACACGUGAGAAAUCUGCCUUCAACACUGGGAUAACUCCGGGAAACCGGGGCUAAUACCGGAUAUGAAACCUGCGGGCAUCCGCGGGUUUGGAAAGUUUUUCGGUUGAAGAUGAUCUCGCGGCCUAUCAGCUUGUUGGUGAGGUAAUGGCUCACCAAGGCGACGACGGGUAGCCGGCCUGAGAGGGCGACCGGCCACACUGGGACUGAGACACGGCCCAGACUCCUACGGGAGGCAGCAGUGGGGAAUAUUGGGCAAUGGAGGAAACUCUGACCCAGCGACGCCGCGUGCGGGGUGAAGGCCUUCGGGUUGUAAACCGCUUUCAGCAGGGAAGAAGCGAAAGUGACGGUACCUGCAGAAGAAGCACCGGCUAACUAUGUGCCAGCCGCCGCCGUAA
This 479-nucleotide ribosomal RNA is filed under the name uncultured bacterium. RNAcentral's name for it is "partial 16S ribosomal RNA". It matches the Rfam family "Bacterial small subunit ribosomal RNA", at positions 28 to 523 of the family's 1533-position model. The record is from RNAcentral.